Molecule: ribosomal RNA, 586 nt
Filed under: uncultured bacterium
Lineage: Bacteria
Description: bacterial SSU rRNA
Rfam family: Bacterial small subunit ribosomal RNA
Source: RNAcentral
CCUACGGGAGGCAGCAGUGGGGAAUAUUGCACAAUGGGGGAAACCCUGAUGCAGCCAUGCCGCGUGUGUGAAGAAGGCCUACGGGUUGUAAAGCACUUUCAGUUGUGAGGAAAGUUUAGUAGUUAAUACCUGCUGGAUGUGACGUUAGCAACAGAAGAAGCACCGGCUAACUCCGUGCCAGCAGCCGCGGUAAUACGGAGGGUGCGAGCGUUAAUCGGAAUUACUGGGCGUAAAGCGCACGCAGGCGGUCUGUUAAGCUAGAUGUGAAAGCCCCGCGCUCAACGUGGGAGGGUCAUUUAGAACUGGCAGACUAGAGUCUUGGAGAGGGGAGUGGAAUUCCAGGUGUAGCGGUGAAAUGCGUAGAGAUCUGGAGGAACAUCAAUGGCGAAGGCAACUCCCUGGCCAAAGACUGACGCUCAUGUGCGAAAGUGUGGGUAGCGAACAGGAUUAGAUACCCUGGUAGUCCACACCGUAAACGCUGUCUACUAGCUGUUUGUGAAUUUAAUUCGUGAGUAGCGAAGCUAACGCGAUAAGUAGACCGCCUGGGGAGUACGGCCGCAAGGUUAAAACUCAAAGGAAUUGACGG